Cygnus olor (mute swan) is the source of this 867-nucleotide long non-coding RNA. RefSeq lists it as uncharacterized. NCBI's taxonomy places the organism in Eukaryota, Metazoa, Chordata, Aves, Anseriformes, Anatidae. The record is from RefSeq and is a predicted model, not a curated record. The transcript has 3 exons.
AUUGUAACACAAAGGACAUGCCAAAGUGGAAAAGUAGUUAGAGACUGUUGUAUUUUGAUGGAUUCUGAAAGAUGUCCUAUUUGGGAGGUGUGAAUUUAUGCACUGCAUUUCAGGCUCCUGCUCAGAAAGUGAAUAUUCAUCAGGAUUAGCAGAUUCUUCUGUAUGAGGUGUUAAAGUGGGCUGUCAGCGUAAUGAAUGUGUUGUGUUGUUCCCUGUGCUGAGGCUCGUUCUGCCAUCUCCACUCGCCUUUUAAGAAGUGUUGGUUUAUUUACUUGAAGCCAGUUAUUACCCGCUGCGGCCUAUAUAGGCAGGUGGGGGCUGACAAGAUGGACGGUCCUUUCCGGGGCUGGUGCAGGCUGCGAUUCGUGAGUAGCACCGCGAACGAAGCUGCCUUGUCCUGCUCGUUUCUCAGAGGUGGUGCUGGCAGAAGACGUCACACAUCCUGCAGUGCCUUCUGCACUCCAGAGUGGUACACAGCCCAGCGUACCAGAACGGUGGCUAUAAAGAGAGGAGCAAAUUAGAGCAACUGCGCGCUACCCAAGGUCUCCCAAUUACCCUCAUGGCUACAGAGAACCGUAACAGCUGUGUUAUACAGUAAGUUCAAAAGACAGUUUAAGCAAUUUGUUGCUGAUCACUUGCAUAAAAGUGGAUAAAAAAGCCACCAUUCUGAUAUAGGAAUUUGAUAAUUAGUGUAUUUCAUCGUCACAUUUCAUAAUCAGAUUGUGCAGCUGUGAGAGUUUAAAGCAUCUUGCAUCAAGUCAGGUGGACCUAGUGCAGUUUUCUGACAAAGCUAACUGGUAGGCUUAUGCAGGAGCCUGCCUGCUCUUUCCAAAACCAAAGGAGCAAAUCAUUACAUGCCUCGGCACC